UCUCGUCCGACCGCCCCCCAACCAGCUUCCCCCACAACACUUUUCCUCCCUAUCCCUUACGGUAGAAGACAAUUUGAUCUGUUGGAGGUAGAAGUGGCGUGUGGUUCCUCCUCUCUCCGUGUCCGUGACCAGUCUAGGGGCGUUCGUCUUUGGAGCAGGAGCUCUACCAUACAUUCUCACAGGGAGAGAGAGAGAGAGGAAAGAGGGACAGGGAACCGUUGUAAUAGUGUGCACUACUGUGAAAGAAAGCAAAAGCAAACAUGGCCAAGUCUUUGUGUUCGGUUUUGUUGAUACUACUGGCUUUGUCUUCGGUGUCAACCGCCUUGCAGUGCCUCCGGUGUUCGAAUUGUCAACAUGAGGUCGAAAUUCCUACGACCUGUCAACCUGGAUUCGACGUCUGCAUGAAACAAGUCAACUACAACAAAGUUAAAAAAUCCUGUGCUCCGAGAGUCGUCUGCAAACCGGAGGAGAUAGACCGUAGUUCCCCCGAUAUAAUACAGGACUUGAAGACGUUCUUCAGCUCAAGAGAUAUCAAUAGGCUGAUAAACAGCGCUUUCCACCCUCGUACUAAAACCGUCCAUUGCUGUGAGACGGACUACUGUAACGGAUCCCCAGGCAUUAGAACCAGUUCAGGACUCCUUGUCAUCCUACCCUUAGCGCUCUACCUGCUCGGGUGCUGAGAGCGGUCGGAGUUUGCCGCUUUUCUAAUUUGCCUUGUUUUUUUAUAACGAGCUUUGUUCUUGCCAAAUUUUCAUCAUGAACAAUGACAGUUGAAGAGAACAAGAAUUUUUCGAAGAACGUGACUCGGCGACGCAGGUUUGUUCAAGAAUGAAGCAUCACACGUUUUUCAUAUUCAUGAGAGUACUAGUUCCUUGAAAACAGUGUUGUUUCUCGGUCACGUUGCGUUUCGAACAGACUGAAACGCUGCGGUACAUAAUAUUUUAUAUAUAAUGUUGGUAAAUGUUAGCUAAAUGAUGUGUGUAUGUUCUAGAUGAACUGAUGGCUGGUCUGUCAUACUUUAAAGGGAAAAGUGACUGAAACGGGCGUGUCUUUUUCAAGGUCUUUUCAAAAUGACGUGUGGUAUUUUUUCAUGGUGAUGUGUAUGGUUUUUUCACCAUGUACAUUACUACUCUGAAUACAAAAAAAUAAUAUGCUGGGUUUUGCUGUUAAGAGUUGUUGAUGUGUAAGCUUUAAGAUAAAAUAGUUUUUUUAUACAUUUUUAUACAUCCGUCCAUGUAAUAAACAUUCCUAUUGUCAAUCUAUGACUUAUUUCAAGUCAAUCAGGAAGUCUUUGGAAUCUUCGAGUUCAGUUACGAGCAUUUGCGCCGAAAUGGCGGAUCACUGUAGCCAAUCAGAACAUGAUAGCUGAACUUAGUCUAAGAUUUAAAAGAUGAAAGAACUUUGAUUAUGAACUACUAGAUUUUAAGAGAUAACUGUCCGACAAGUGUAAAGUACAGGUAUGAAUUACUUUUAAUAUUAGUAAUUAAGAUACAAGAAGGGAAAGUCAUCACGGUGUGAAUAUAGUUAAUCAAUAUAUACAGCGUCUAUGUGUAGUACGGUUGAUAUGACUUUCUCCCACAAGAGAGCGCUCAGUCUACAGCCAUGCAUGAUAUAGGCCUAACCGGAUAUCUGGGUACCUGCUUCUCACAGUUUCAGAGAGUUUGUAUAUUUCGCAAGUUUUAGUUACGAAAAAAAUAACUUCAAGGUAAUCCAUUUAUAAUGAUGGAUCGUCUGUUGCCUUGUCUCUUCAAGGUAAUCCAUCUAUAAUGAUGCAUCGUCUGUUGCCUUGUCUGACCCGUUUUCUUCUGCGGAAGUAGAGAACAAUGAACAAAUUUUUUUUUUUUUACUUUUAAACCGAUAUAGUAGAAUAACUUCUAUUGAGCCGCGUUUGGUGGAUAUUAUGAUUGCUCAGUGUGUAUAAGAGAUGUUUAAUACAUUUCAUAUUUAAAAUUUGUAUUGCAAGAUGCAUAUAUUUAUAGGAAAUUUAUUAUUAGGCUUUUUUUUUAAAUUUUACUUUGAACUGAUCUGAACACGACGUAUUAAUCUUUGAUACUGCAGUCAUGAGGUUAUAAGGAUGACCGGUAUUGAAAUGUAGGCCUGAUAUUUGUAUCAGAUCAGCCAAAGUCACCCCGUUAGGCCUAUUUAUGUUAAUUAAAUCCCAUUAUCUCCUGAAGGUCAAUCCCAACUUGAUGAAUCAUCUGGAAAAAUCCCAGAAUUAGAAAACAAGAUUUGGGAACUAGCCUCUUUAGUCGGUAGUGGAAUAUUCCCAGUUUUUUUUAUGCACACGAGUCUAAUUCCUGUUGUAAAAAUAUUCUAGUUCCAGGUAUAAAGUACAGCCAGUGUUUGCUUGUUUUUUUUUUUCAGUUUUAUGUAUGUCUAAUGAUCAUUACAUAUCUGUAAAUAUUUCAUAUUAUCACACAACUUUAAUUGUAAGGAGGUAAAAUACGGCUCAGAGUUACCUACAUAUGCUGGAAGCUGACUUUGUAGUUGGUAAGCCUUACAGGGUAGUUGAGUUGCCAGUUUCCAUUUUUUUGUUUCCCAACUACUACGGAUUCAGGGGGCAACCCGCAGAUAGUACAAUGUAUUUAGAUAGUACAAUAUAUUUACCAACAUGUAAUAAUCGACUGUACAUAGUCCUAUGUCCGUGAUUUCCUUCAUACAGUAUACAGAAGAAGAAGAGUGGUUCUCUUGGAACUUGGAAAUAACCGUUCAAGACGUAUCCCGGAAGAAUUACUACAUUUUUAUGUUAAUUUUUCAUAGCGUAACUUCCAUCUUGAAAAAUAUCCUUGUGUUCAUUUUUAUAUAUAUUUUGUUAGGAAUGCAAGUGAAUAAAUUACGCAGAUUA
Macrobrachium nipponense is the source of this 2845-nucleotide long non-coding RNA. RefSeq lists it as uncharacterized. NCBI's taxonomy places the organism in Eukaryota, Metazoa, Arthropoda, Malacostraca, Decapoda, Palaemonidae. The transcript is spliced from 4 exons. The record is from RefSeq and is a predicted model, not a curated record.